Molecule: small nuclear RNA, 104 nt
Organism: Phascolarctos cinereus (koala)
Lineage: Eukaryota; Metazoa; Chordata; Mammalia; Diprotodontia; Phascolarctidae
Source: Ensembl
GUGAUUAGUUCACCGUCACAUGUACCAGAAUUGGAACAACACAGAGAAGAUUAACAUGGCCCCUGUGCAAGGACAUGUAAAUUUAUGAAGCAUUUUAUAUAUAU